This 93-nucleotide non-coding RNA is filed under the name Pseudomonas sp. 8Z. Its description in RNAcentral is "SAH_riboswitch". It matches the Rfam family "SAH (S-adenosyl-L-homocysteine) riboswitch aptamer". Lineage: Bacteria; Pseudomonadati; Pseudomonadota; Gammaproteobacteria; Pseudomonadales; Pseudomonadaceae. The record is from RNAcentral.
CUGUCCGAGGGGCGCUGCAGCAAAUCCGCAUCGGGCGGUUUUGUCAGGCUCGGAUGGGGCGUUAUCCAAACGCAUCAACGGCGCCCAUCGGAC